Molecule: ribosomal RNA, 244 nt
Filed under: uncultured bacterium
Lineage: Bacteria
Description: partial 16S ribosomal RNA
Rfam family: Bacterial small subunit ribosomal RNA
Source: RNAcentral
UGGGUAACCUGCCUCAAAGAGGGGAAUAGCCUCCCGAAAAGGGAGCUUAAUACCGCAUAAUAUGUUUUAAUCGCAUGAUUUUAACAUCAAAGGAUUUUCUUAGGAAAUUCCACUUUGAGAUGGACCCGCGGCGCAUUAGCUAGUUGGUGAGGUAACGGCUCACCAAGGCAACGAUGCGUAGCCGACCUGAGAGGGUNAUCGGCCACAUUGGAACUGAGACACGGUCCAGACUCCGUAGGGACGG